GAUGAACGCUAGCGGCAGGCUUAACACAUGCAAGUCGAGGGGUAACAGGGUGCUUGCAUCGCUGACGACCGGCGCACGGGUGCGUAACGCGUAUACAAUCUACCUUUUACAGAGGGAUAGCCCAGAGAAAUUUGGAUUAAUACCUCAUAGUAUUAUAAAGUGGCAUCAUUUAAUAAUUAAAACUUCGGUGGUAAAAGAUGAGUAUGCGUUCUAUUAGCUAGAUGGUAAGGUAACGGCUUACCAUGGCAACGAUAGAUAGGGGUCCUGAGAGGGAGAUCCCCCACACUGGUACUGAGACACGGACCAGACUCCUACGGGAGGCAGCAGUGAGGAAUAUUGGACAAUGGAGGCAACUCU
This 357-nucleotide ribosomal RNA is filed under the name uncultured bacterium. Its description in RNAcentral is "bacterial SSU rRNA". It matches the Rfam family "Bacterial small subunit ribosomal RNA", at positions 28 to 384 of the family's 1533-position model. The record is from RNAcentral.